RNAcentral lists this ribosomal RNA (870 nucleotides) under uncultured Gammaproteobacteria bacterium. RNAcentral's name for it is "bacterial SSU rRNA". It matches the Rfam family "Bacterial small subunit ribosomal RNA", at positions 56 to 917 of the family's 1533-position model. The record is from RNAcentral. Lineage: Bacteria; Pseudomonadati; Pseudomonadota; Gammaproteobacteria.
UGCAAGUCGAGCGGUAACAGGCGUAGCAAUACGUGCUGACGAGCGGCGAACGGGUGAGCAAUGCUUCGGAAUCUGCCCUUUAGUGGGGAAUAACCAACCGAAAGGUUGGCUAAUACCGCAUACGCCCUUCGGGGGAAAGCGGGGGACCGUAAGGCCUCGCGCUAUUGGAUGAGCCGAAGUCGGAUUAGCUAGUUGGUAGGGUAACGGCCUACCAAGGCGACAAUCCGUAGCUGGUCUGAGAGGACGACCAGCCACACUGGGACUGAGACACGGCCCAGACUCCUACGGGAGGCAGCAGUGGGGAAUAUUGGACAAUGGGGGCAACCCUGAUCCAGCGACGCCGCGUGUGUGAAGAAGGCCUGCGGGUUGUAAAGCACUUUUAGUGGGGAUGAAAAGCCUAGGGAUAACACCCUUGGGUCUUGACCUAACCCACAGAAAAAGCACCGGCUAACUCUGUGCCAGCAGCCGCGGUAAUACAGAGGGUGCAAGCGUUAAUCGGAAUUAUUGGGCGUAAAGAGCUCGUAGGCGGUCUGUCGCGUCGGCUGUGAAAACUCGGGGCUCAACCCCGAGCUUGCAGUCGAUACGGGCAGGCUGGAGUUCGGCAGGGGAGACUGGAAUUCCUGGUGUAGCGGUGAAAUGCGCAGAUAUCAGGAGGAACACCGGUGGCGAAGGCGGGUCUCUGGGCCGAUACUGACGCUGAGGAGCGAAAGCGUGGGGAGCGAACAGGAUUAGAUACCCUGGUAGUCCACGCCGUAAACGUUGGGCGCUAGGUGUGGGAUCCCUUCCACGGGUUCCGUGCCGCAGCUAACGCAUUAAGCGCCCCGCCUGGGGAGUACGGCCGCAAGGCUAAAACUCACAUGAAUUGACGGG